Molecule: ribosomal RNA, 301 nt
Filed under: uncultured bacterium
Lineage: Bacteria
Description: partial 16S ribosomal RNA
Rfam family: Bacterial small subunit ribosomal RNA
Source: RNAcentral
CAGUAGCCACGGUAAUACGAAGGGUGCAAGCGUUACUCGGAAUUACUGGGCGUAAAGCGUGCGUAGGUGGUGGUUUAAGUCCGUUGUGAAAGCCCUGGGCUCAACCUGGGAAUUGCAGUGGAUACUGGAUCACUAGAGUGUGGUAGAGGAUAGUGGAAUUUCCGGUGUAGCGGUGAAAUGCGUAGAGAUCGGAAGGAACAUCUGUAGCGAAGGCGACUAUCUGGGCCAACACUGACACUGAGGCACGAAAGCGUGGGGAGCAAACAGGAUUAGAUACCCCGGUAGUCCCUGUCUCUUAUAC